This 639-nucleotide ribosomal RNA is filed under the name Listeria monocytogenes. Its description in RNAcentral is "partial 23S ribosomal RNA". It matches the Rfam family "Bacterial large subunit ribosomal RNA", at positions 1239 to 1875 of the family's 2925-position model. The record is from RNAcentral. Lineage: Bacteria; Bacillati; Bacillota; Bacilli; Caryophanales; Listeriaceae.
UUCUAAGGGCGGUGAAGUCAGACCGGAAGGACUGGUGGAGCGCUUAGAAGUGAGAAUGCCGGUAUGAGUAGCGAAAGAAGGGUGAGAAUCCCUUCCACCGAAUAUCUAAGGUUUCCUGAGGAAGGCUCGUCCGCUCAGGGUUAGUCGGGACCUAAGCCGAGGCCGAUAGGCGUAGGCGAUGGACAACAGGUAGAGAUUCCUGUACCAGUGCUAAUUGUUUAACCGAUGGGGUGACACAGAAGGAUAGGGAAUCGCACGAAUGGAAAUGUGCGUCCAAGCAGUGAGUGUGAGAAGUAGGCAAAUCCGCUUCUCGCGAAGCAUGAGCUGUGAUGGGGAAGGAAAUUAAGUACGGAAGUUCCUGAUUUCACGCUGUCAAGAAAAGCCUCUAGGAAGAGUAGUACUGCCCGUACCGCAAACCGACACAGGUAGAUGAGGAGAGAAUCCUAAGGUGAGCGAGAGAACUCUCGUUAAGGAACUCGGCAAAAUGACCCCGUAACUUCGGGAGAAGGGGUGCUCUAUUAGGGUGCAAGCCCGAGAGAGCCGCAGUGAAUAGGCCCAGGCGACUGUUUAGCAAAAACACAGGUCUCUGCAAAACCGUAAGGUGACGUAUAGGGGCUGACGCCUGCCCGGUGCUGGAAG